RNAcentral lists this ribosomal RNA (490 nucleotides) under Salmonella enterica. RNAcentral's name for it is "partial 23S ribosomal RNA". It matches the Rfam family "Bacterial large subunit ribosomal RNA", at positions 1292 to 1773 of the family's 2925-position model. The record is from RNAcentral. Lineage: Bacteria; Pseudomonadati; Pseudomonadota; Gammaproteobacteria; Enterobacterales; Enterobacteriaceae.
GAAUGCUGACAUAAGUAACGAUAAAGCGGGUGAAAAGCCCGCUCGCCGGAAGACCAAGGGUUCCUGUCCAACGUUAAUCGGGGCAGGGUGAGUCGACCCCUAAGGCGAGGCCGAAAGGCGUAGUCGAUGGGAAACGGGUUAAUAUUCCCGUACUUGGUGUUACUGCGAAGGGGGGACGGAGAAGGCUAUGUUGGCCGGGCGACGGUUGUCCCGGUUUAAGCGUGUAGGUGUGUGUUCCAGGUAAAUCCGGUUCACUUUAACACUGAGGCGUGACGACGAGGCACUACGGUGCUGAAGCAACAAAUGCCCUGCUUCCAGGAAAAGCCUCUAAGCAUCAGGUAACAUCAAAUCGUACCCCAAACCGACACAGGUGGUCAGGUAGAGAAUACCAAGGCGCUUGAGAGAACUCGGGUGAAGGAACUAGGCAAAAUGGUGCCGUAACUUCGGGAGAAGGCACGCUGACACGUAGGUGAAGUGAUUUACUCAUGGA